Molecule: non-coding RNA, 46 nt
Filed under: Schistosoma mattheei
Lineage: Eukaryota; Metazoa; Platyhelminthes; Trematoda; Strigeidida; Schistosomatidae
Source: RNAcentral
GCAUUGCUGAGGAGUUCCACAAUAGGACGAAACGGCCGUCUUAUGC